Molecule: RNA transcript, 1780 nt
Organism: Myotis lucifugus (little brown bat)
Lineage: Eukaryota; Metazoa; Chordata; Mammalia; Chiroptera; Vespertilionidae
Gene: PEX16
Gene name: peroxisomal biogenesis factor 16
Exons: 9
Source: RefSeq, a predicted model, not a curated record
GCCAGAGCGUUUGUUACUCGCGCCUCCGGCCACUCUUCUCCGGGCGCUGCCCCUUUCCAGGAGGCAACUGGGAAGGGAUCCCCAGGAUUUGCCCCCAUCGCUUACGGAGCAGCUGAGCUCCGGGAGGUGCGUCGAGGACCGAAAGCGGACCACGUCUGCCCUCAAACCAUUUUACAGAUGGAGAAAUCCGAGGUCCAGAGAAGGGAAACUCGCCAGCCGAGAGCCGAAGCUCGGGCCAGGGUUUCUCCACGGAGGUGGGCGUGCAGCACUCCACGGGAGACGAUGAAAUUGGCGACACGCGCGCCUGCCGAGACACACUCCGACUAUAUUAGACUCUCCCGGCGCCCCCUCAAGUCUGAUGGAGGCUCCUUUUCGCGCGCGACCUCCCAGCCCUUUAACACCCGGUCCCCCCGUUCGAGCCUCUCGGGGUUCUAUUGGAAAGACUCUAGGCCCCUCUAGAACGUGAGGCCCAGACCGCCCGGAGCUGGCACUGCGCAUGCGCAAGGACAGCCAACCGGGGAGGCGGAAAAGCCGGUCCCGACUUUGUUGAGCUGCCGGGAGGGGGGGGGAGGGCGGAGAUUGUGUUAUCCAAUGACCUGAAGGAGCAAGGAGGGCGGGAUUAGGCUCUCGGUUGCUAGGCGCUACCUUUGGGGGAGGCAAUGUAAAAAGAUGGGUGAUCUGUGGUUCAAUGGCCCUCACGUCACCGCCCUUCCAGACCGCGGAAGUUAAGCAACGGAGAGGCGGGCCUAGCACCGGAAGCAGGAAGGAGGGCACAGGAAGCCAGGCGCCGCCACCACUGGCAGGCAGUCAGUGGGUCUGUCGGUCCCAGGGCAGGAUGGAGAAGCUGCGGCUCCUGGGCCUCCGCUACCAGGAGUACGUGACUCGUCACCCGGCCGCCACGGCCCAGCUGGAGACGGCAGUGCGGGGCUUCAGUUACCUGCUGGCAGGUCGCUUCGCCGAUUCGCACGAGCUGUCAGAGCUGGUGUACUCUGCCUCGAACCUGCUCGUGCUGCUCAAUGACGGGAUCCUGCGCAAGGAGCUUCGGAAAAAGCUGCCUGUGUCGCUGUCCCAGCAGAAGCUGUUAACAUGGCUGAGCGUGCUGGAGUGUGUGGAGGUGUUCAUGGAGAUGGGGGCCGCCAAGGUGUGGGGUGAAGUGGGCCGUUGGCUCGUCAUUGCCCUCAUCCAGCUGGCCAAGGCAGUACUGCGAAUGUUCCUGCUCAUCUGGUUCAAGGCUGGCCUCCAGACCUCACCCCCCAUCGUUCCACUGGACAGGGAGACCCAGGCACAGCCCCCGGAUGGUGAGCACAGCGGGAGCGGCCAGGAGCAGUCAUACGUGGGGAAGCGGUCACACAGAGUGGUGCGGACGCUCCAGAACACUCCGUCCCUGCACUCAAGGCACUGGGGAGCCCCCCAGCAGCAGGAGAGACGGCAACAGCAGCACCAGGAGGAGCUGAGCGUCACCCCCACUCCGCUGGGGCUGCAGGAGACCAUCGCAGAGUCCUUGUAUAUUGCCCGGCCCCUGCUGCAUUGUAUCCUUUGCAUGGGGCCGCCGCCGCUUGGGGGUAGGGAUUGACGGCAGUGAGCAGGGCGGGCCCCGUGCUGGAGACAUCCUUGACGCCUUGGCCAUCAGUGCUCAGCCUGGGUCUAUGGGGGCAGCGGUCGUGGAAACCCUGGCUCCUAUCUGGUGUCGUGGAUGUGACCAGUCUGAGCCUCCUGAGUGACAGGAAGGGCCUGACCCGGAGGGAGCGGCUGGAGCUGCGGCGUCGGACCAUCCUGCUGC